UAACAUGUCAGCUUUCUAUUUUUUUUAACAUAGGCUGGACAUCCCCAAGUCUUAAGAUAACUCAAACUCAAUUUCUUACCAUGCCAUAUCUCAGUAAGGCAUCUUAGAAGGAACAGACUUAGAAGGAAUCUUUUUUAAAAUAUGCAUCACAGUAAGGUAUGUCCCUAAAGAAAUAAGGGUAAGAUAGUGAAACUCAUCAUGGAUUAGACCAUAUCCAAUAGGAUCCUAUUUCUCCU
This 236-nucleotide long non-coding RNA is filed under the name Elaeis guineensis (African oil palm). Its description in RNAcentral is "long non-coding RNA (EGUI_LNC069793)". Lineage: Eukaryota; Viridiplantae; Streptophyta; Magnoliopsida; Arecales; Arecaceae. The record is from RNAcentral.